Molecule: long non-coding RNA, 238 nt
Organism: Mauremys mutica (yellowpond turtle)
Lineage: Eukaryota; Metazoa; Chordata; Testudines; Geoemydidae
Exons: 3
Source: RefSeq, a predicted model, not a curated record
CACAUAACUUAGCCUACAUGGAUCUGGUAAGAGCAAUGUGUUUCCUGUGGUUUAGUAGUGAUUCUACUAAUUCUACCUGAAUAAGAGACAGAGAAGCUCACUUUGUAACCAGUGUGUUUAAGAUCCUUUUACUUAGUUGUAUGAAAAGACUAAGAUGCGCUGUAGGAAAGCCUGCCAUCAGUGUCAUUCUGAAAAGAACCAGCCUAGAAGAUAGUGGGAUGAGUUGUUUCUCUCUGCC